AGCUCCUUCUUCUUGAC
This 17-nucleotide non-coding RNA is filed under the name Mus musculus (house mouse). The record is from RNAcentral. Lineage: Eukaryota; Metazoa; Chordata; Mammalia; Rodentia; Muridae.